This 468-nucleotide ribosomal RNA is filed under the name uncultured bacterium. RNAcentral's name for it is "partial 16S ribosomal RNA". It matches the Rfam family "Bacterial small subunit ribosomal RNA", at positions 28 to 507 of the family's 1533-position model. The record is from RNAcentral.
GACGAACGCUGGCGGCGUGCUUAACACAUGCAAGUCGAACGGAAAGGCCCUGGUUUUGUGGGGUGCCCGAGUGGCGAAAGGGUGAGUAACACGUGAGUAACCUGCCCUUGACUUUGGGAUAACUUCAGGAAACUGGGGCUAAUACCGGAUAGGUGCUCCUGCUGCAUGGUGGGGGUUGGAAAGUUUCGGCGGUUGGGGAUGGACUCGCGGCUUAUCAGCUUGUUGGUGGGGUAGUGGCUUACCAAGGCUUUGACGGAUAGCCGGCCUGAGAGGGUGGCCGGCCACAUUGGGACUGAGAUACGGACCAGACUGCUACGGGAGGCAGCAGUGGGGAAUAUUGCACAAUGGGCGGAAGCCUGAUACAGCAACGCCGCGUGCGGGAUGACCGCCUUCGGGUUGUAAACCGCUUUCGCCUGUGACGAAGCGUGAGUGACGGUAAUGGGUAAAGAAGCACCGGCUAACUACGUG